Gallus gallus (chicken) is the source of this 478-nucleotide long non-coding RNA. The record is from Ensembl. Lineage: Eukaryota; Metazoa; Chordata; Aves; Galliformes; Phasianidae.
CAAUGUUUUUGUUUUAUCAAAAAUGUAAUUCCCUUUUUCUUUGAAUUGAAGCUGACUCCUUCCAACUUGAAUGAGUAAUGGGGCUGGAUACUUUAAACCCUCAGCACAGGAUCAGACCACAGAGCUAGCAAAGAAAAAAAAAAAAAAGAAAAGAAAAAAGUAGUGAAAUCUGAGAAACAUAAAUGAUUGAUAGCAUCUCAGGCUGAAGACUGCUGAAACGUGUCGAUGACAGCAGGACCUGGCGCUGAAAACAAUCAUCAUACCAAAUGACAGAACAAUUAGCGUUGCCAGCAGAGAAAAUAGUAAGUGAACCAACCAAAGGCCAGUGUGUUUAUUUUCCCACUCAGAGACAUCGUCUUCCCAGGUGGGGACUCUGAAAACAUUCCUGCUGAAGCUGACACGGUUUUUACUUCAGUGAGGGACUGGUCUGUUCCAAGCAGGAAAUUAACCCAAACUUUAAGAGAAAGCAACACAAGCU